UAAAGUCAGACAUGCCAAGGUGAUGACAGUGAAUUAAAGGGGAAAUUGCAACAUAAAGCCCUGGUCUAGAGGGAGAGAGGAACAGGACUUCAUAUCUAGAAAUGGCUGAGGCCUGAAAUCUAAGUGGGGUACCUUGAAGGAUACCUCAAAGGAGUUCAAGCAGGGAUGGCCAACGUGAGGCUCGCAAGUCGCAAGCAAAAAGUUGCAGCUCCUGAAGGAACCGGGAUGGAAUCUGGAACUGCUCAGCCGCACCAGCUGCACAUGCAGGGCGCACCACCCCGCCCGGGACAUCCUCCCACACCUGAGGUCUCAGCAGAUCCACCACAACAUUGAAAGAAACAAGCUUAACUCAUAGGUGUUGGGACCAGCCUAGCAGAAGAGUUUCAUGAACACACUGGAGCAGAGGCAGCAGUGAUAAAGUAAAUUCCCUCCAGCUGCCCAGCUACAAUCUGGCAGUAAAAGAGUGAAUUUCCUCCCCCAACUACAGAAACUCCUUUGCCUCACUACAGUGAUUAAAAUAAACCAGCAGCCACACAACCACAGCUAUCAAGGCUUCUAGCAUUAACAUGUGAUGAAGAACAUUUUUUGUCUCUAGUGUGAGCACAGCAGUGAGGGGUUUUUUGUUUGUUUGUUUCAACACAGCCUCAAAAACGGAGCCAAGACAAGCCCACCUUAGGAGUGCAGAGGCCAAGUAUUAGCAUGGGGCAUAAAGAGGAAGGAGCAUUCACUAAUUCAAACCUCCUGACUCCCAUUUAUCAGGUUUGGGGCACUAUGUUGCUUGGGGCUCAAAUUUCCAAACUCAAUCCUAGGAGAAGAGAUAUUUCUGACACCAUCAGAGCAGUCAGGGAAUGAUAAUCACAUGGGCUGUGUCUAAUCACAUGGGCCAAAGUGGCCGC
Molecule: long non-coding RNA, 896 nt
Organism: Pelodiscus sinensis (Chinese soft-shelled turtle)
Lineage: Eukaryota; Metazoa; Chordata; Testudines; Trionychidae
Source: RefSeq, a predicted model, not a curated record